UAUGUAUCAUGUCACUUGUGGCGGCCAUUAGAAAGAUACUAACUACGUGAAGGAACACAAACCUGUAUUCCUGACACUAUAGUGCUGGAAAACAAAGUUUUACUCACCUUUUCUCCCUUGCCACGACAAUCUUGAUGAUCUCAGCCAAUCCAAUGUUUUCCCAGAAGACAGCAUAGGGAGGCUACUGCGCAUGCACAUCAAAAUGCUGCAUUGUGUCAGUCGGCAUCUUUGAAGAG
This is a non-coding RNA of Pelobates cultripes (western spadefoot toad), 236 nucleotides long. The record is from the annotation of a GenBank genome assembly. Lineage: Eukaryota; Metazoa; Chordata; Amphibia; Anura; Pelobatidae.